GGGGUUGGAGCUCAGUGGUAGAGUGCUUGCCUAGCAUGCAUGAAGCCCUGGGUUCAAUCCCCAGCAAACCCC
RNAcentral lists this transfer RNA (72 nucleotides) under Ictidomys tridecemlineatus (thirteen-lined ground squirrel). RNAcentral's name for it is "Spermophilus tridecemlineatus (thirteen-lined ground squirrel) tRNA". It matches the Rfam family "tRNA". Rfam says of the family: Transfer RNA (tRNA) molecules are approximately 80 nucleotides in length. Lineage: Eukaryota; Metazoa; Chordata; Mammalia; Rodentia; Sciuridae. The record is from Rfam by way of RNAcentral.